RNAcentral lists this long non-coding RNA (310 nucleotides) under Gossypium barbadense (sea-island cotton). RNAcentral describes it as "long non-coding RNA (GBAR_LNC020755)". Lineage: Eukaryota; Viridiplantae; Streptophyta; Magnoliopsida; Malvales; Malvaceae. The record is from RNAcentral.
UAGACUUUGCCCUGGACGAGCCCUAAUAAGCAAACUAGCUUUGAAAAUGGAGGGAAGAACUCUGUGACAUUGGCGGCGCUAAAGCAACGGAGUCCAAAAGAAAUGGCUACACAAGAAGACGAUGAAGACUAUAUAAAUCCCCCUGAAAUGAUCUUGCCUGAUGAAGAAGAUGAAGGGAAGAGCCUUACCAUGCUAGGUGACGGUGCAGUGACGCAACAACUGCAACAACAUUGUAUCCGUUCGAUCGAGUCAACGGUGGUGAUUAGGCAGCUUCCUUCGGAAGGGAUUUCUUUCCAGCUUUGGCCAGCCG